Molecule: long non-coding RNA, 1044 nt
Organism: Astatotilapia calliptera (eastern happy)
Lineage: Eukaryota; Metazoa; Chordata; Actinopteri; Cichliformes; Cichlidae
Source: Ensembl
AACCAACCCGGAUUUUCCUGACUGAUCUCAAUUAUUUCAGCCAAAUCUGUUUCAUUUACAGCUGUCAAUCUAAAGCCUCCCACGUGGUCUUCAGGGCGGGCGCAUCUCGACUAGUUGAAUGUGCAACUUUUAGGUGGGCAGUUGCACUUGCACGUGCAUGUAGGAUACUCAACAGAAAACGUCCUGGAAGUCUGGAGGCGCGUCUUCUGCGGCAUCCAGAUUACUCCCAUCUGGUGCAAACCCGGUGCGCGCCGCUGCUGCCUCUUAUUCCAGGACUAAUUUCAGUCAGCGCUUUGAACCCCGAGCGCACUGCGUUGUGGCGGAGUGUAAGUGAGUGCGUUAAGUUCGAACUAGGAGCCUGAAUACGGUUUAUAUUUUAACAACGCCAAAUACAACAAAGUAUUUUGGCCAUUUCUGUUCAGCAAGAGGACUUAGAAGUAGGAUCGCACCAUGGAUACGGUCGGCGACUCUAUCGGAGAAAGUAAGCCGGUGUGCCAGUGUACCCCCAAGUCCCGGAGCCAGCGAUGGGUGCCAGGUUUCCCCAUCGCUCUGUGCUUGCUGAUGUCGAUGAGCUCCAUCACCGUGUGUCUUCUGAUGAGCUUGAAGACCUAUCAGCUGGAGAACCGACUGCAGAUGGAGUUGGACAAGGCGUCUAUCUUCCAACACCCGAAAAGGGCGUUCGUAAACGAGGAUGGGACCCUACUGUCAGAGUUGAGCACCCCAAUAGGAAAGCUCGUGGAAGAGAAAGUGGUGGCUCUGACGCCAAAAGUGCGGCCAGCGAGGGAUGUUGGCCAAGAGUGCUCCUGUCCUCCAGCUAAUAUGUUAAACAACCACACUGUCGAGGCACUCAACACACGAGCCUGAAUGUCCUCCACGUGUUGAGUCAGCAGUGGUAUGUAUUGGGGCAUACAGUCGCCCACUGCAGUGAAUACUGUAUAUUCCAAGCACACUGACAGUAUGCCAGUAAAUAUCAUUAAUCACAGUCUUGUUUUGGCUCUUUGAGUCAGCCAUGUGGAAGUGAUUUCUGUGGCUUAAACACUGUUU